This 1243-nucleotide ribosomal RNA is filed under the name metagenome. RNAcentral describes it as "bacterial LSU rRNA". It matches the Rfam family "Bacterial large subunit ribosomal RNA", at positions 1564 to 2810 of the family's 2925-position model. The record is from RNAcentral.
UGAAUAGGAGAUGCUACGGCGUCGAAGCAGUCUAUGUCAUACUUCCAAGAAAAGCUCGCAAUGUCAGAAACAAAGAAUGCCUGUACCAUAACCGACACAGGUGGGUAGGUAGAGUAUACUAAGGGGCGCGAGAGAACUCUCUCUAAGGAACUCGGCAAAAUGACUCCGUAACUUCGGGAGAAGGAGUGCCUUAUUUUUAAGGUUGCAAUAGCAAGAUCCAAGCAACUGUUUAUCAAAAACACAGGUCUCCGCGAAGUCGUAGACGAUGUAUGGGGGCUGACGCCUGCCCAGUGCCAGAAGGUUAAAGAAGUUGGUUAGGAUAUCUUUGAUAAUCGAAGCUGAUAACUGAAGCCCUGGUGAACGGCGGCCGUAACAAUAACGGUCCUAAGGUAGCGAAAUUCCUUGUCGGGUAAGUUCCGACCCGCACGAAAGGCGUAAUGAUUUGGAUACUGUCUCGGAGAGGGGCUCGGUGAAAUAGACUUGUCUGUGAAGAUGCGGACUACCUGCACCUGGACAGAAAGACCCUAUGAAGCUUUACUGUAACUUGAGAUUGAAAUUGGACUUUAUUUGCGCAGUAUAGGUGGGAGGCGUUGAGAAUAUUCUUGCGGGAAUAUGGAGCCAUCAGUGAGAUACCACUCUUGUAAUGUUAGAUUUCUAACUUUGGAUCAUGAUCUGGUCUAAGGACAGUUUCAGGCGGGCAGUUUGACUGGGGCGGUCGCCUCCCAAAGGGUAACGGAGGCGUACAAAGGUUUCCUCUGAACGGGUAGAAAUCGUAUCUAGAGUGUAAAGGCAUAAGGAAGCUUGACUGUGAGACCUACAAGUCGAGCAGGGACGAAAGUCGGUCUUAGUGAUCUGACGGUGCUGAGUGGAAAGGCCGUCACUCAACGGAUAAAAGUUACUCUAGGAUAACAGGCUGAUCUCCCCCAAGAGUUCACAUCGACGGGGAGGUUUGGCACCUCGAUGUCGGCUCAUCGCAUCCUGGGGCGGUAGUACGUCCCAAGGGUUGGGCUGUUCGCCCAUGAAAGCGGUACGCGAGCUGGGUUCAGAACGUCGUGAGACAGUUCGGUCCAUAUCCGGUGUAGGCGUUAGAAUAUUGAGAGGAGCCUUCUUUAGUACGAGAGGACCGAGAAGGACAUACCUCUGGUGUACCAGUUAUCGUGCCAACGGUAAACGCUGGGUAGCUAUGUAUGGAGAGGAUAACCGCUGAAAGCAUCUAAGUGGGAAGCCCACCUCAAGAUAAGUA